ACACUUGCUCCGGGGAACCAGGAAGCAGGAACUCGCGGGCUCCAUUCCCAGAUCCGCUGCCAGUGCCCCCUCGCUUGCCCUCCCCGGCUUUAGCUCUUUCCGUUUUUCUCUCCUGCCCCUUGGGCAUCUGUAAAACCGCCACUACGAGUAAACCACAUGGGAGAAAGGGCACUCGGUUUGAAGUCCAUGUGGCAUGCCAUGGGACGCCUUCUGGGCUCAGUGACUCAAUGAAUAUUCAUCUAAGAUGUGUGAUGAGUCCAGAUACUGUGAAGAUCAGGAUCAGCCGUCAGCACCUGCCCUCAAAGAGCUCAGAGUUUAGCUGGGGAGGCCUCGGUGUAUACUGCCAUCGAUCCAGCCUGGUGCCUGGGAUAGGGAAGUGCAUGAUAAAUGCUGCAUAAAUGAAAAACAAUUGCUACCGUGGAAGAUAUUGAAAGGAAAGUGCUAUCGAUGCCAAAGUUGUUUCCAAGAGAGGUAUUCCAAAAGUGUUUCAAGCAAUGACUGAGCUAAGCAUCCAGUCCUGCAAGGUGAAGGCGUUGAAGACGCAGCCCUCAUUUGAAUAGAUGAAUUGUGGUAUUCUUGUUAAAUAAUGAAUCAUAUCAAGGCUUGGUCACACCUCAUGCACAUGAAAAGACCAAAACGCAAGGCAGCAUAUCAGCGCCACGUGAAGUACACACUAAGCACCAACUAUUUAAUUCAGCAAUCAUGGGGGGCCCGGUGGCUCACGCCUGUCAUCUUAGCAAUUUGGGAGGCCGAGGCAGGUGGAUCGCUUGAGCCCAGGAGUUCGAGAUCAGCCUGGGCAUCAUGGUGGCCUGCACCUGUAGUCCCAGCUACUCAGGAGGCUGAGGUGGGAGGAUAGUUUGACCCCAGAAAGUUGAGGCUGCAGUGAGCCGUGAAUGCACCACUACACACCAGCCUGGAUGACAGAGCGAAACCCUGUCUCAAAGUAAUUAAUAAUAAUUAUAUUAAUUCAGCAAUCAUUGGAGUGUUUGUUGACUUUGACACCGCACUAAGGGAAGGAGUAGGUCCCUUUCCUCAAGUAGUUCCAGUCUAGGUGAGAAGACAGACAAUUAUGCAAAGUUCAAUGGGAACCCAAGGGAAGGAACAGUGAAAUCCAAUUACAGUGCAUUUGAUCUAGCUCUUGAGGAUAAAUGAGGGUUUGCCAAACUGAGACUGGAAACCCCAUUUAAGACACAUGGAAUAGCACCUACAAAGGUGAGGCAGCCAGUCUGCUGGUGUGUUUAGCGAAGCUAUGUAAACUGGUGUGGCUGGAGAAUAGAGAUGUGGAUAAUAAGAUUGAAGGAAGUGGAUACCAGACUUUGAAGGUCAUUGCGUGCCAUGCUGAAGAGUUAGGCAUCAAAAAAGACACAAGUGUGACUUAAUCAGCAGCACCAUCAAGAAGACCGUCUUGCAACAGUCUUGCAGUUGAACUGGAGACUCGGGGUGCCCUAAAACUCAAGCAGUGGUCCUGAGGUUGAGGAGGAGGGGAAGGAGCUAGGAAACGGUUCAGAUCAUUUGGCUGUGUAGUGAGAGAGAAAACAAAAAUCGCUAACCUUUAACAGCUGAACAAUGGUUGGUGUCAGUAAGUGAGAUAAGAAUUCAGGGCUGGGCACAGUGGCUCAUACCUGUAAUCCCAGCACUUUGGGAGGCUGAGGUGGGUGGAUCACGAGGUCAGGAGUUCCAGACCAGCCUGACCAACAUGGAGAAACCCCAUCUCUACUAAAAAUACAAUAUUAGCUGGGCGUGGUGGUGCAUGCCUGUAAUCCCAGCUACUCGGGAGGCUGAGGCAGGAGAAUCACUUGAACCCAGGAGGUGGAGGUUGCAGUGAGCUGAGAUCACGACAUUGCACUGCAGCCUGGGCAAAAAGAAUGAAACUCCGUCUCAAAAAAAAAAAAAAGAAAGAAAGAAAUUCAAGCAAAAGGGGAGUGGGGUGAGGUCGGAGGGGAAUCCAGCCAGGUUCAGGGGACGGAGAGGAAAGCAGGACAGAGUCCAGAGUAGAAACAGGAAAGCAACCCUAGUGUCACGGUUAGGGUAGACUGCUGACAACGAACUUGGAGAUCUUUAUUCCCUCUAAGUCUUAACUAUCCAAGACCAUCAGUGAUCCAAGCUGGGAAGGUGUGUCUUCAGGAUCUUGACUUUCUGGCCCAUACCCUUAUAGUCUCCUGGAGAGCUCUGGAGCUUUGGGGACCUCAGGCUUGGAGCUGUUGAGGAAUGUCUAGGUAAAGGAAAGUUAACAGAUGUACAAAUUCUGAAGAGUUAAAGGCAAGGUGAUUUUACCCACACAUCAGCCCUUCCCAGGGAUGUUUACAUUUCUUAAGGGACAGGACCCUAAUUCACUGACCCUCAGGAAUGAGUCUUUUGGUGGAAAUAUUUCAGCUGUCUGGAUCCUACAAAUGGAUCCUCACUCAAGCUUGAUGAUGGACUGUGCAGGAGGAGGAGAGUAAGGGUGUGGGCAGGGCUGGGUGGUUUCAUGUAGGGGUAUUUGUGUUGGCUAUAUUCCAAAGUCAAAGUUAAAAAUCAAUUAAUUGGGCACAGUGGCUCACAUCAGUAAUCCCAGUACUUUGGGAGGCCGAGGUUGGAGGAUCUCUUCAGCCCAGGAGUUUGAGACCAGCCUGAGCAAUAUAAUGAGACCUUACCUCUACCAAAUAAAUAAAUAAAUAAAAAUUAGCUGGGCAUAGUAGCACACACCUCUGGUCCCAGCUACUUGGGAGGCUGAAGUGGGAGGCUUGUUUGAGCUCGGGAGGUCAAGGCUGCAGUGAGUCGUGACCUCGCCACUGCAUUCCAGCCUGGGCGACAGAGCAAGACGUUGUCUCAGAAAAAAUAAAUAAAAUAAUAUAAAAUAAACCAGACACAUUCAUGAUAUAAGUGGAAAAGCAGAUUCUAAAAAUUAUAUAUAGGGGCUGGGCAUGGUGGCUCACACCUGUAAUUCCAGCACUUUGGGAGGCUGAGACAGGCGGAUCACCUGAGGUCAGGAGUUCGAGACCAGCCUUGCCAACAUGGUGAAACCCCAUCUCUACUAAAAAUACAAAAAAUUAGCCAGGCGCGAUGGCACGCGCCUUUAGUCCCAGCAACUUGGGAGGCUGAGGCAGGAGAAUCACUUGAACACAGGAGGUGGAGGUGGCAGUGAGCCUAAAUCGCACCGUUGCACUCCAGCCUGGGCAGCAAGAGUGAAACUCCAUUUCAAAAAAUAAAUAAAUAGCUGGGCGUGGUGGCUGACACCUGUAAUCCCAGCACUUUGGGAGGCUGAGGCGGGCGGAUCACCUGAGGUUGAGAGUUCGAGACCAGCCUGACCAACGUGGAGAAACCCCGUCUCUACUAAAAAUAGAAAAUUAGCCGGGCGUGGUGGCGCAUGCCUGUAAUCCCAGCUACUCAGGAGGCUGAGACAGGAGAAUUGCUUGAACGCUGGAGGCAGAGGUUGCGGUGAGCAGAGAUUGCGCCAUUGCACUCUAGCCUGGGCAGCAAGAGCGAAACUCCGUCUCCAAAAAAUAAAAUAAAAUAAAUAAAUAAAUAAAAACUAUAUAUCAGAUGACCCUGUUUUUGAAAAAAGUUGAAAAAGUAUUUUAAAGGGAUUAUUUCUGAAAGUUUGCAA
Molecule: long non-coding RNA, 3586 nt
Filed under: Homo sapiens (human)
Lineage: Eukaryota; Metazoa; Chordata; Mammalia; Primates; Hominidae
Description: HSALNT0366176
Source: RNAcentral